CUGAAAAGAAGACAAAGCACACAGUGGCGCUCACAAGCCAAACCCUGUUCUGCUAACUGCAAAGCUCAUGCUCAACCUGCUCAAGUACUAGACAAAGAAUGAAGAGCGACCAUGGCUUUGAGCUAGGUGACAAGCCAGCUUCUACAAUGCAGAUGAUAACAGUGCCCUAGGUAAUAACAGAGAAAAAGACAGAAGGAAACUGUUCCCUGAAUAACCGUGAGGAGCAGAGCUACUCAACAGACAUGGAUCACUCAUACCAGGCCUGUUAUAUGAGCGAUAAAUAAGCUUCUUUGUUAUUUGAACCAGUAUACUGUUGGGGUUUUUUUUGUUGCAGCAGCUAGAUUUUAACUAAUACAUUCCCCAAAUAGGAACAAAACAUAUUAAAAAUAUAAAAUAUAUUAUGAAUAUAAUUCAUUGUUCAGUAUUUACUUUCCUGAUCUACUGAGCUCCCUCUAUCAAUCUGCCUUGGCCAAUUCUUCUUCAACAUUACUUUGGCAGAUCCUAUUUUCUAAUAGGCAUAAAGACAUAACUAAUAGCAGUUUUGUCAUUUUGAUAACCUAGAAAUCACUCAAAGGCUCCUAAGCAACUCAAGCAGAUUAGGGUACCUUCUAUAUGCAUAUUCUUGUGCUAAAUGCUGGGGGUUUACAGAAGCCCAAGAAAUAGACUUUUAUUCAUGUAGAUUUCUUUUCUAAACAACUAGCACCAUCUCUUUUCUCCAAACAGUUCAUUUUGAAAUACUUUUCUGAAACCUGUGAUUUUGGCAUGGGAAAGUAUUGCUAUCCUUAUUACAAGAAAAGAAACUAAGUAUCAGAGGAGUUAAUAUAAUUUCCAAAGAAUACAAGGCUCUAUUCUGGGACAGAGGUCACCAUCUUUCUUCUCAUUGUCUAGCACAGUAUUCUUAAAGUAUGGUCGCUGGAUGCUCAUGUAAAACACAGAGCCCAGGUGUCCCCUCCACACCCACUGAAUCAGAACUGGCUAGGGCCUUGGCAGGAAUAUGCAUUUUUGACAAGUGUCUCAACUGAUUCUCAUAAAAACUAAGCACAGUACUGUCCUAGAUAAUGGACAUACCUCAAGCCAGCUCACAUCUCAUUAGCUUCUGAGAAAAAAAUUCAUUUGUAACAUUUAAUCUAACAGCAACCGCAUCCCAAGUCUCUUCCCCCAGAAUUUUAACCUUUUAUCUGCACUAGUGUCUCAAUUAUUUUUCCAGUUUUUUACCAACAUAAUCUGGCUUCUGGCAGCUACAGUGAUAUGGCAGAUACAGGCUUAAGUAUGAAUAAACCUUUUUUUCUUUGAUUUGGUUAAUAAAAGCCUGGAUUAUUUUUUCAAAAGGAACUUUACAAUAUAUAAAGAGAAAACAAAGCCAAAGAACCCCAAAGAAGAAAAAUUAAUUGGCAACUACAAGCUUGUCUUACCUUGGAGAAAGUCUUGCUUCCCUUGCUCAACUCAACCCUUUCUGGAGAACCCUGACCCAAGGCCCACCUUUUGGCCAAGCUGCCUUAAAUGCCCUGUUUUCUUCACAGACCUAUCCUUCAUCUCAGAUGGGAGCCAGCUGUAAUGCAGGAGAUAAUCUGACAGCCAACUUUCUGUGUGGCAAUGUUUAUUAGCUGUUCUAAAGCUGCUUUCCACUUUCCUAUGCUAUUGUCAUAGCUACUAUGCCUCCAUCCUUAACCACAUGCUUAUAGGCCACUGUCUACUCAGCACCUCAUGCCACUCUACUGUCAUAAAAUCAGAGAAAAUCCAUGCUUGAAAAUGACCAUGUGUAGAAAUCAGCACAUACAGGGCUGCUGUGUUGUAGAACUCCAAGAGGCACUGUUCACAUUCUAUUCCACGUGAACAGUGCCCGUGGAGUUCAUACAAUACAAAUGGCACCCUGGAGUUGUGCUACUGGCACUACUGCAUAAAGUCGUCCCUAAACCGUGCAUCAGAAUGAUCUGGGGAGCUUGUUGCAAUUAUGGAUUCUGGUCCUCUCCUCCUUCCCCACUCUCCUUUCUCUUCCCUUUACCUGAAUUGUGAUCCAUAGGUCUGAGAUGGGGCCCUUUUUAAAAAGCAUCAGUGGUGAUUCUGAUGAUCAGCAUGGUUUUGGAAUAAAUAAUCUCACCCAACUCUUCCAUUUUGCAGGUGAAAGAACUGAGUCCCAACAGGACUAUGUGGCAGAUCAAAGUCACACCCAGCUGACAAUUCAACCUGGCUUCUCAGAGGGUUGCAGUGGGAGCAUACUCCAGUUGCCCAUAGUGGUGAGUAGCUCAACAAUGAACCCUUGGAUUUGCUUUCCCUCCUUAGCUGUUUCCAGUCUUCCAUU
Molecule: non-coding RNA, 2299 nt
Organism: Equus caballus (horse)
Lineage: Eukaryota; Metazoa; Chordata; Mammalia; Perissodactyla; Equidae
Source: RefSeq, a predicted model, not a curated record